AAGCGCCGCGCCGAGCCCAUCUGAGCGGGCGCCACCGCGCUCCCGCCGCAGCCGCGCUUCCCCGCGCCCAGCCAGCGGGCGAGGCCAGAGCGGGGCCCCGGCCCAGCUUCCUUCUCGCCGCCCGCGGCGUCCCCGGGCGGGCGCGGGCCGCGAUGGGAGCAGCCGAGCGGGGCUGAGUCCGCCGCCGCCCGCAGCCCCUGGUCCCCUCGGGCCCCAACCAUGGCGAAGCAGUACGAUGUGCUGUUCCGGCUGCUGCUGAUCGGAGACUCCGGGGUGGGCAAGACCUGCCUGCUGUGCCGCUUCACCGACAACGAGUUCCACUCCUCGCACAUCUCCACCAUCGGU
Molecule: long non-coding RNA, 345 nt
Filed under: Marmota monax (woodchuck)
Lineage: Eukaryota; Metazoa; Chordata; Mammalia; Rodentia; Sciuridae
Source: RNAcentral